RNAcentral lists this ribosomal RNA (460 nucleotides) under uncultured bacterium. RNAcentral describes it as "partial 16S ribosomal RNA". It matches the Rfam family "Bacterial small subunit ribosomal RNA", at positions 338 to 795 of the family's 1533-position model. The record is from RNAcentral.
CCUACGGGUGGCUGCAGUGAGGAAUAUUGGUCAAUGGGCGCAAGCCUGAACCAGCCAAGUAGCGUGAAAGAUGACUGCCCUACGGGUUGUAAACUUCUUUUAUAAAGGAAUAAAGUGAGGCACGUGUGCCUUUUUGUAUGUACUUUAUGAAUAAGGAUCGGCUAACUCCGUGCCAGCAGCCGCGGUAAUACGGAGGAUCCGAGCGUUAUCCGGAUUUAUUGGGUUUAAAGGGAGCGUAGAUGGGUUGUUAAGUCAGUUGUGAAAGUUUGCGGCUUAACCGUAAAAUUGCAAUUGAUACUGGCAGACUUGAGUAUAGUUGAGGUAGGCGGAAUGCGUGGUGUAGCGGUGAAAUGCUUAGAUAUCACGAAGAACUUCGAUUGCGAAGGCAGCCUACUAAACUGCAACUGACAUUGAUGCUCGAAAGUGUGGGUAUCAAACAGGAUUAGAUACCCGGGUAGUC